AUUUUAGUGCUUGCACUAAAUGAAACUAGAUACAAGCGAGCGGCGGACGGGUGAGUAACACGUGGGUAACCUGCCCAAGAGACUGGGAUAACACCUGGAAACAGAUGCUAAUACCGGAUAACAACACUAGACGCAUGUCUAGAGUUUGAAAGAUGGUUCUGCUAUCACUCUUGGAUGGACCUGCGGUGCAUUAGCUAGUUGGUAAGGUAACGGCUUACCAAGGCAAUGAUGCAUAGCCGAGUUGAGAGACUGAUCGGCCACAUUGGGACUGAGACACGGCCCAAACUCCUACGGGAGGCAGCAGUAGGGAAUCUUCCACAAUGGACGAAAGUCUGAUGGAGCAACGCCGCGUGAGUGAAGAAGGGUUUCGGCUCGUAAAGCUCUGUUGGUAGUGAAGAAAGAUAGAGGUAGUAACUGGCCUUUAUUUGACGGUAAUUACUUAGAAAGUCACGGCUAACUACGUGCCAGCAGCCGCGGUAAUACGUAGGUGGCAAGCGUUGUCCGGAUUUAUUGGGCGUAAAGCGAGUGCAGGCGGUUCAAUAAGUCUGAUGUGAAAGCCUUCGGCUCAACCGGAGAAUUGCAUCAGAAACUGUUGAACUUGAGUGCAGAAGAGGAGAGUGGAACUCCAUGCGG
This 633-nucleotide ribosomal RNA is filed under the name bacterium. RNAcentral's name for it is "bacterial SSU rRNA". It matches the Rfam family "Bacterial small subunit ribosomal RNA", at positions 70 to 676 of the family's 1533-position model. The record is from RNAcentral.